RNAcentral lists this ribosomal RNA (439 nucleotides) under uncultured bacterium. RNAcentral describes it as "partial 16S ribosomal RNA". It matches the Rfam family "Bacterial small subunit ribosomal RNA", at positions 338 to 795 of the family's 1533-position model. The record is from RNAcentral.
CCUACGGGUGGCAGCAGUGGGGGAUAUUGCACAAUGGGCGAAAGCCUGAUGCAGCGACGCCGCGUGAGGGAAGACGGUCUUCGGAUUGUAAACCUCUGUCUUUGGGGAAGAAAAUGACGGUACCCAAAGAGGAAGCUCCGGCUAACUACGUGCCAGCAGCCGCGGUCAUACGUAGGGAGCAAGCGUUGUCCGGAAUUACUGGGUGUAAAGGGAGCGUAGGCGGGAUGGCAAGGAGAAUGUUAAAUCCCGCGGCUAAACCGGUGGCUGCGUUCUAAACUGCCGUUCUUGCGUGACCUAGAGGCAGGCGGAAGUCCUAGUGUAGCGGUGAAAUGCGUAGAUAUUAGGAGGAACACCAAUGGCGAAGGCAGCCUGCUGGGCUUGAACUGACGCUGAGGCUCGAAAGCGUGGGGAGCAAACAGGAUUAGAUACCCCUGUAGUC